RNAcentral lists this ribosomal RNA (497 nucleotides) under uncultured bacterium. RNAcentral describes it as "partial 16S ribosomal RNA". It matches the Rfam family "Bacterial small subunit ribosomal RNA", at positions 28 to 507 of the family's 1533-position model. The record is from RNAcentral.
GAUGAACGCUGGCGGCGUGCCUAAUACAUGCAAGUCGAGCGAACAGACGAGGAGCUUGCUCCUCUGACGUUAGCGGCGGACGGGUGAGUAACACGUGUAUAACCUACCUAUAAGACUGGGAUAACUUCGGGAAACCGGAGCUAAUACCGGAUAAUAUAUUGAACCGCAUGGUUCAAUAGUGAAAGACGGUUUUGCUGUCACUUAUAGCUGGAUCCGCGCCGCAUUAGCUAGUUGGUAAUGUAACGGCCUACCAGGGCAACGAUGCGUAGCCGACCUGAGAGAGUGAUAGGCGACCUUAGAACGGAAACGCGGACAAGACGACUAAGGGAGGGAGCAGUAGGGAAUCUUCCGCAAUGGGCGAAAGCCUGACGGAGCAACGCCGCGUGAGUGAUGAAGGUCUUCGGAUCGUAAAAAUCUGUUAUUAGGGAAGAACAAAUGUGUAAGUAAAUAUGCACGUAUUGACGGUACCUAAUCAGAAAGCCACGGCUAACUACGUG